CUGGGAGCCUCACGCUGUGCCCUCCUCCAGCCGCGCCAGGCUUCCCUGCGGUGAUGAGGGGCACCGCGAACGGUGCGGUUGGAGCAGAGCGCGCAGCGGAGGCUGCGCCCAGAGAGGAGCUCACUUCUCCGCCCCACCGGGAGGCAGCGGCUGGGACGACUCUGAGAGCCGGUAGGUGUUGGGCCAUGGCCCUCCCCCGACCCCGCUGGAGGCCGGUUCCCUCCCCUUCCCUUCCUACCUACCUCUCCUCCCUCCGGGCCUGGUGGGUGGCCAGGGCCGGAGUUCGCUGCAAGUCGGCAGAACGUUUGGCGGCGCAGGCUCCCCAGAAGUUCAGGUGCAGAGAACCAGGGAUGGGAAAGGAGGAGUCUGGGUUUGGGUGGGGCAGGGGGCCCGGCGAGUUCCGGGGAUCACUCGGUGGCCUCUGCUGUACUUCAGUUUCCCCAAGCUGCAGUCAGCUAGGUGGCAGAUCACUGAGUUGAGACCAAAAGAGGGGUUUUAGGGUUGGGGACGGCAGCUUGGGCGCCAUGGCUUGGGGCUGGGGCUCUGCCUGCGGGCUACUUUCCUCUCCCCAGGUCCUGGAGCCUCUUAAUUUUUUUAAUGAGGAGGAGCUGCUGGCUUGUAAAAUCAUAUUCCUCUCUCUCAAAGAAGAAUUGUGUUUGUAACAUGGUUUGAAGCAAGUAAGGGGUAUAGUUAUUGAAAAAUUUAAAAACUGGUUAUAACAUGCAUAUUUAGAUAGUAACACACCAUUUAGGAAGAUUGAACUCAUGUAGUGCAGAUAUUCAAUUACCAUGAAGCAGUAGUAGAACCCCAGUUCCUCACUUAAUUACAGGAUUUAAUUCUGAAUUCCAGGCACCAUGACUUUGAGAAGAAGCUUCCAUUUCUAUAGCAUGUAAGGUUCAACUCUACAAGUUUUCCCAGUGAUAUUUCUUGAGAUUUACUCUACCUUUUAGGAUCCUUUUUACCUUAUUUCAAAGAAAGAAGGAAUAGUUACCUGGAGAAAAUAUAAAGAUACUGCAAAAUGACACUCAUUAGCCAGUGGCUUACAGUGUGAUUGUCAUAGGCCUUCCUUCACA
Molecule: long non-coding RNA, 1073 nt
Filed under: Sus scrofa (pig)
Lineage: Eukaryota; Metazoa; Chordata; Mammalia; Artiodactyla; Suidae
Description: lncRNA (ENSSSCG00055012885.1)
Source: RNAcentral